This 253-nucleotide ribosomal RNA is filed under the name uncultured bacterium. RNAcentral describes it as "partial 16S ribosomal RNA". It matches the Rfam family "Bacterial small subunit ribosomal RNA", at positions 524 to 776 of the family's 1533-position model. The record is from RNAcentral.
UACGGAGGGUGCAAGCGUUGCUCGGAAUUAUUGGGCGUAAAGGGUAGGUAGGUGGUCUCAUUUGUCUGAGGUGAAAGCCUUGAGCUUAACUCAAGAAGUGCCUUAGAAACGGUGAGACUAGAGUCUUGGAGAGGGUCGUGGAAUUCCCGGUGUAGCGGUGAAAUGCGUAGAGAUCGGGAGGAACACCAGAGGCGAAGGCGGGUCUCUGGACAGUUCCUGACACUGAGGCACGAAGGCCAGGGGAGCAAACGGG